CCCUCGAGAGUCUCUAACCAAAUACAAUCUUAAUAUUUUUAUCAAACUUAGUUGUCUAAUUAAAUUUCAAGCAAAAUAAAAAGGAAGUUCAAGCAAUUAUAUUGUGAUAUGUGCAAAUGGGCUUCUCAAAAUUGUUUGAGUGUCUCAAAUGAGUUAUUCUUCUCACAUUUCUAUAUUUUCUUUCUUUUUUCAUUUUUUUUCUUUUUAUAUUGGAUAGAAAUCCUUUGAGAAACUCUCAAUGUGGGUGCCCUGAGAUCCCCAAUGCAAUACUUCUUUGCGAUGUGUAAAUUUAUAUAUUCUGAGAGUCCAUGUGAGAAUACCCUAAUUAUCAUGCAUGUUCUAUGCUUAAUUUGAAGCUUGAGGUUUUCUUUCAGUUUAUUUGGUAGGGAGGGAGUGUAAAUGAUGUUCGUGGAUUGAUCCCAAGCUUUAAAUGUAUCGCAUUCCUUACCAUUUUCUUGCAAAUCAGUAGCUAAGAGAAAAAACACAUUCAAU
RNAcentral lists this long non-coding RNA (492 nucleotides) under Brassica rapa (field mustard). RNAcentral describes it as "long non-coding RNA (BRAP_LNC000944)". Lineage: Eukaryota; Viridiplantae; Streptophyta; Magnoliopsida; Brassicales; Brassicaceae. The record is from RNAcentral.